UCAGAACGAACGCUGGCGGCGUGCUUAACACAUGCAAGUCGAACGCGAAAGGGACUUCGGUCCUGAGUAAAGUGGCGCACGGGUGAGUAACGCGUAGAUAACCUGUCUUCAUGUCUGGAAUAAUACGCCGAAAGGGGUACUAAUACCGGAUAUUCUUGCUUUUCAUAAGUUAUGCAAGCAAAGGUGGCCUCUGCAUAUGCUACUGCAUGAAGAGGGGUCUGCGUACCAUUAGCUAGUAGGUGGGGUAAUGGCCUACCUAGGCGACGAUGGUUAGCGGGUCUGAGAGGAUGAUCCGCCACACUGGCACUGGAACACGGGCCAGACUCCUACGGGAGGCAGCAGUGAGGAAUAUUGCGCAAUGGGGGAAACCCUGACGCAGCGACGCCGCGUGAGUGAGGAAGGCCUUCGGGUCGUAAAGCUCUGUCAAGAGGAAAGAAGUGUACAAUGGCUAAUACCUGUUGUAUUUGACGGUACCUCUAAAGGAAGCACCGGCUAACUCCGUGCCAGCCGCCGC
This 514-nucleotide ribosomal RNA is filed under the name uncultured bacterium. RNAcentral's name for it is "bacterial SSU rRNA". It matches the Rfam family "Bacterial small subunit ribosomal RNA", at positions 24 to 518 of the family's 1533-position model. The record is from RNAcentral.